UGAGAGAGAGAGUAAGUGUGUGUGUGUGUGUGUAAAUAAUGACCUCCCAAAGAUGUCCAUGCCCUAACCCCCAGUGCCUGUGAAUGUGUGAUGCUACAUAGCAAGGGAGAAUUAAGGUUGCAGACGGAAUUAAGUUUGCUUAACACUUGACCUUAAAAUCAGGAGAUUAGCCUGAAUUAUUCAGGUGGGCCCAGUGUAAUCACAAGACUUCUUAAAAGAUGGAAGAGGAAGAAAAAUCUGUCAGGGGAUGCAAUGUGAAAAACUCAACUUGCUGUUUCUGGAUUUGUCAGAAGGGGGCCAAAGAAUAUGGGCAGCCUCUAGAGGCUAAAAAGAACAGGCAGGUGUGGCUGGCUGGCCUAACAGCCUAGGAAGCUGAUUCCUCUUGGAGGAGCAGCGAACACCAGUCUGCCUUUGAGAUCUGCUGAACCACAAGGAGACUGCACUUCAAUCUCUCCAUGGACACCCAGACAAGCUCUUUUCAAUGAGAGCUUCCACCUCCUAUCAUUGUUCAAGCUCCUACCUUUU
Molecule: long non-coding RNA, 525 nt
Organism: Bubalus bubalis (water buffalo)
Lineage: Eukaryota; Metazoa; Chordata; Mammalia; Artiodactyla; Bovidae
Exons: 3
Source: RefSeq, a predicted model, not a curated record